This 503-nucleotide ribosomal RNA is filed under the name uncultured bacterium. Its description in RNAcentral is "partial 16S ribosomal RNA". It matches the Rfam family "Bacterial small subunit ribosomal RNA", at positions 30 to 523 of the family's 1533-position model. The record is from RNAcentral.
AUUGAACGCUGGCGGCAGGCUUAACACAUGCAAGUCGAGCGGGGUGAUGGUGCUUGCACUAUCACUUAGCGGCGGACGGGUGAGUAAUGCUUAGGAAUCUGCCUAUUAGUGGGGGACAACAUCUCGAAAGGGAUGCUAAUACCGCAUACGUCCUACGGGAGAAAGCAGGGGAUCACUUGUGACCUUGCGCUAAUAGAUGUGCCUAAGUCGGAUUAGCUAGUUGGUGGGGUAAAGGCCUACCAAGGCGACGAUCUGUAGCGGGUCUGAGAGGAUGAUCCGCCUCACGGGGACUGAGACACGGCCCAGACUCCUACGGGAGGCAGCAGUGGGGAAUAUUGGACAAUGGGGGGAACCCUGAUCCAGCCAUGCCGCGUGUGUGAAGAAGGCCUUAUGGUUGUAAAGCACUUUAAGCGAGGAGGAGGCUCUUUUGGUUAAUACCCAAGAUGAGUGGACGUUACUCGCAGAAUAAGCACCGGCUAACUCUGUGCCAGCCGCCGCAGUAA